GAUCCUGGCUCAGGACGAACGCUGGCGGCGCGCCUAACACAUGCAAGUCGAACGGAGUUGCCUGAUCUGAUUCUUUCGGGAUGACGAACUUGUAACUUAGUGGCGAACGGGUGAGUAACGCGUGAGGAACCUGCCCCAGAGUGGGGGACAACAGUUGGAAACGACUGCUAAUACCGCAUAAGCCCACGGUACCGCAUGGUACAGAGGGAAAAGGAGCAAUUCGCUUUGGGAUGGCCUUGCGU
RNAcentral lists this ribosomal RNA (242 nucleotides) under uncultured bacterium. RNAcentral describes it as "partial 16S ribosomal RNA". It matches the Rfam family "Bacterial small subunit ribosomal RNA", at positions 15 to 236 of the family's 1533-position model. The record is from RNAcentral.